Molecule: RNA transcript, 1245 nt
Organism: Mus musculus (house mouse)
Lineage: Eukaryota; Metazoa; Chordata; Mammalia; Rodentia; Muridae
Gene: Cd1d2
Gene name: CD1d2 antigen
Exons: 6
Source: RefSeq, marked reviewed
GCUGGGAGCAGAGUAAAGUGCAGAAGUCGGAACCCAGGGCUGUGUAGAACUCUGGCGCUAUGCGGUACCUACCGUGCCUGUUGCUGUGGGCAUUCCUACAGGUCUGGGGACAAUCUGAAGUCCAGCAAAAGAAUUACACCUUCCGCUGCCUGCAGACUUCUUCCUUUGCUAACAUAAGCUGGUCCCGCACAGACAGCCUGAUCUUGCUGGGGGAUCUGCAGACACACCGUUGGAGUAAUGACUCAGCCAUCAUCAGCUUCACGAAGCCAUGGUCCCAGGGCAAGUUGAGUAACCAGCAGUGGGAGAAGUUGCAGCAUAUGUUUCAAGUCUAUCGAGUCAGCUUUACCAGGGACAUACAGGAAUUAGUCAAAAUGAUGUCACCUAAAGAAGACUAUCCCAUUGAGAUCCAGUUGUCUACCGGCUGUGAAAUGUACCCUGGGAAUGCUUCGGAAAGCUUUUUUCAUGUAGCAUUUCAAGGAAAAUAUGCCGUGAGAUUCCGGGGAACAUCUUGGCAGAGGGUCCUAGGGGCCCCAUCUUGGUUAGACUUGCCCAUCAAAGUGCUCAACGCUGAUCAAGGGACAAGUGCAACCGUGCAGACGCUCCUGAAUGACACCUGGCCCCAGUUUGCCCGUGGUCUCCUAGAGGCAGGGAAGUCAGACCUAGAGAAGCAAGAGAAGCCAGUGGCCUGGUUGUCCAGUGUCCCCAGCUCUGCACAUGGCCAUCUGCAGCUGGUGUGUCAUGUCUCUGGUUCUACCCAAAACCUGUGUGGGUGAUGUGGAUGCGGGGUGACCAGGAGCAACAGGGUACUCACAGAGGUGAUUUCCUGCCAAAUGCUGAUGAGACAUGGUAUCUUCAAGCAACCCUGGAUGUGGAGGCUGGAGAGGAAGCUGGCCUGGCCUGCAGGGUGAAGCACAGCAGCCUAGGAGGACAGGAUAUCAUCCUCUACUGGGAUGCCAGGCAAGCACCCGUGGGCCUGAUCGUCUUCAUAGUACUAAUCAUGCUAGUGGUGGUGGGUGCUGUAGUCUACUAUAUCUGGAGAAGGAGAAGCGCUUAUCAAGACAUCCGGUGACUCUUCCUUACACCUGCCUCUCCUGAAAUUCAGACUUUCCAGGCUCUAGGACUUCAGUCCUGGUCUGCUCAGGAUCUGGGGAUGAAAGAGAGGAAUCCUGAAGAAGUGAAGAGCAACCAGUAUGCUCCUUUAAAUUUAGGAAUAUUACUUCCUAAUUAAAUUAAGAUCAAUUCAAA